AGUGAACGCUGGCGGUAGGCCUAACACAUGCAAGUCGAACGGCAGCACAGUAAGAGCUUGCUCUUACGGGUGGCGAGUGGCGGACGGGUGAGGAAUACAUCGGAAUCUACUUUUUCGUGGGGGAUAACGUAGGGAAACUUACGCUAAUACCGCAUACGACCUACGGGUGAAAGCAGGGGAUCUUCGGACCUUGCGCGAUUGAAUGAGCCGAUGUCGGAUUAGCUAGUUGGCGGGGUAAAGGCCCACCCAGGCGACGAUCCGUAGCUGGUCUGGGAGGAUGAUCAGCCACACUGGAACUGAGACACGGUCCAGACUCCUACGGGAGGCAGCAGUGGGGAAUAUUGGACAAUGGGCGCAAGCCUGAUCCAGCCAUACCGCGUGGGUGAAGAAGGCCUUCGGGUUGUAAAGCCCUUUUGUUGGGAAAGAAAAGCAGCAGGUUAAUACCCCGCUGUUCUGACGGUACCCAAAGAAUAAGCACCGGCUAACUUCGUG
Molecule: ribosomal RNA, 492 nt
Filed under: uncultured bacterium
Lineage: Bacteria
Description: partial 16S ribosomal RNA
Rfam family: Bacterial small subunit ribosomal RNA
Source: RNAcentral